Molecule: RNase P RNA, 397 nt
Filed under: Bacteroidaceae bacterium
Lineage: Bacteria; Pseudomonadati; Bacteroidota; Bacteroidia; Bacteroidales; Bacteroidaceae
Description: RNase P RNA component class A
Rfam family: Bacterial RNase P class A
About the family: Ribonuclease P (RNase P) is a ubiquitous endoribonuclease, found in archaea, bacteria and eukarya as well as chloroplasts and mitochondria. Its best characterised activity is the generation of mature 5'-ends of tRNAs by cleaving the 5'-leader elements of precursor-tRNAs. Cellular RNase Ps are ribonucleoproteins.
Source: RNAcentral
AGACCCGGACAGUUUGUCGCUGGCCGACCGGCCUUUCGAGGCUGGAAGACGAGAGGAAAGUCCGGGCAACACAGUGAGGUGUCCGCUUCCUAAUAUAGAAGAGAUCCGCGAGGGUCUGUACGUGCAGAAGAAAAUAACCGCCGCGCCUUUGAGGCCUGCCUCAUAAGCUCGGUAAGGGUGAGAAGGUGGGGUAAGAGCCCACCGGGCCGUCUGGUGACAGCGGUGCCGUGCACACCGGAAGUUGAAAGUCCGCGUAUACCGGCGUUUGAGGGUGGCCUCCUGCCCGAGCCGGAGGGUGGGACGAUAGAGGCCGUUGGCAACAACGGUCGUGGAUAAAUGACAGACGCCCAAGCUUUCGUGGCAUGGGAACAGAACCCGGCUUACACAGGGUCUGCGC